GACGUAGGGCGCGAGCGUUGUCCGGAUUUAUUGGGCGUAAAGAGCUCGUAGGCGGUUCGGUAAGUCGGGUGUGAAAACUCUGGGCUCAACUCAGAGACGCCACCUGAUACUGCCGUGACUGGAGUCUGGUAGGGGAGUGUGGAAUUCCCGGUGUAGCGGUGAAAUGCGCAGAUAUCGGGAGGAACACCAGUGGCGAAGGCGGCACUCUGGGCCAGUACUGACGCUGAGGAGCGAAAGCGUGGGGAGCGAACAGG
RNAcentral lists this ribosomal RNA (254 nucleotides) under uncultured bacterium. Its description in RNAcentral is "partial 16S ribosomal RNA". It matches the Rfam family "Bacterial small subunit ribosomal RNA", at positions 524 to 776 of the family's 1533-position model. The record is from RNAcentral.